UCCAUGGUUAUACUAUAGUUAGACCAUGUUAAUCAAAAAAAUAGCCAUGGUUUUGUCACACUAUAGGAAAACUGGUUAUACAGAUGGUAAUCAAUAAACCAAAAAACAAAAACAACAUAAUAUACUCUUUCACAAUAUCCCAUGGUUAAUUUUUCACAAGAACAGCGCAUCUCAAAGAGCUAAAUUUAGACUGAAAUGGAACAUCGUACUUUAAAUUUGAGGUUGUCGCUCAGAAAACCCAAUCAUAUGACUUCAGAAGACUUGGAACAUAGCGCACAAGUCUACUUUAAUUGCAUUUUAAUAAGACCUCUACAUGUUGUUUGGCAACUGUAGGCCAAAACACCUUCUUUCACUUCUGGAGAAGAAAGAAAGUCAUACAGAUUUGGGUGUAAAUGGUGACAGAAUGAGAAUUUUGGUAGUUUUGUGGGUUUGUGGUCAUCUGGGCAGUUGCUAAUCAGAGAUGUUUUACUGUGGAGGAAUCAUCAUCACAUGUCUUCCGCACAUUUCUCACCAUUAGAAACCACAUCCGAGACGUGUUGCUAGUGCUUUGAGAGUCUUUAGCAGCGCUGCUGAUGUGGAAACACGCCAGCGAUAAUGCUUCGUUUUGAAGUUCUAGCGAAAAGGCAUUUUAACUAGAACACCAGAGGCUUUAUCGACUGGGAUUCCUUUCCACAACCAACCAAAUCUCAAACCUCUCAUGCUUUAAGUUGAAAACACAGCCUGAUUCUCAUUUCUGAUGAGGGCUUGAAAUCCAAAAGACCUCAAAUUUCAAUCCCAGCCUUUAAGAAUGAUAAACGGAAUGAAUCUCAAAACAACGAUGCACCAGUGGAUUGACGUGACGCAUCCAUUAUAAAUGCAACCAAGGCAUAUCUGAUAACUGGGGCCAGAGGAGAAGGCGGAGAAGCUCUUCAGACACUGCGUGAGGUCAUCCGGGGGUCUAUAUAAACCCUGGGAUCUGACCGUCCGUCCGUCAGUCCGUCAUCUGCAGGAGAACAGACGGGGAGCGAGACAGCACAUCGAGGCUUUUCAGUGUUUGGAUGAUGGUGAAGACACAAAGAUCUCAGCAGCGCGUCGCUCUCAUGAUACUGAUGGUGGUCGCAGCCGUGCAGAGUCAGGAGAACCAGAGCUCAGCCCGGGAGAGACAGCAGCAGCAGGAGCCACAAGAGGGCGCUGGAGACGCUGUUGAGCGACAUGUUCAGACCUCAUAUAAAUAUAUAAAUAUAACACAUAUAAAUCAGUUUCGUGUGCUAGAUAACAUGCUACUUUGAAAUACACCAUGGUACUUUUUUGUGUGGAAGAAUUGAUGUUGGUAUGUAUGCUUCGAAGGGUUUCAGAUAUAUAGUAAAUCCAUCCUUGCUAGUAUAUUUGUUUAUGUGGAUAGCAGAACAUAUUUUUUAUUUAUUAUAUGUGUGUGUGAUUAAAAAUGCUUUUCAGUAAACUGA
This is a long non-coding RNA of Carassius gibelio (silver crucian carp), 1442 nucleotides long. RefSeq lists it as uncharacterized. The record is from RefSeq and is a predicted model, not a curated record. NCBI's taxonomy places the organism in Eukaryota, Metazoa, Chordata, Actinopteri, Cypriniformes, Cyprinidae. The transcript has 3 exons.